GCGCUCGUAGCUCAGUUGGAUAGAGCAGCGGAUUUCUAAUCCGCGGGUCGCAGGUUCAAAUCCUGCCGAGCGUACCA
Molecule: transfer RNA, 77 nt
Filed under: Limisphaerales bacterium
Lineage: Bacteria; Pseudomonadati; Verrucomicrobiota; Verrucomicrobiia; Limisphaerales
Description: Verrucomicrobia subdivision 3 bacterium (hot springs metagenome) tRNA-Arg
Rfam family: tRNA
About the family: Transfer RNA (tRNA) molecules are approximately 80 nucleotides in length. Their secondary structure includes four short double-helical elements and three loops (D, anti-codon, and T loops).
Source: RNAcentral